RNAcentral lists this ribosomal RNA (491 nucleotides) under uncultured bacterium. RNAcentral's name for it is "partial 16S ribosomal RNA". It matches the Rfam family "Bacterial small subunit ribosomal RNA", at positions 29 to 506 of the family's 1533-position model. The record is from RNAcentral.
AGUGAACGCUGGCGGUAGGCCUAACACAUGCAAGUCGAACGGCAGCACAGUAAGAGCUUGCUCUUACGGGUGGCGAGUGGCGGACGGGUGAGGAAUACAUCGGAAUCUACUUUUUCGUGGGGGAUAACGUAGGGAAACUUACGCUAAUACCGCAUACGACCUACGGGUGAAAGCAUGGGAUCUUCGGACCUUGCGCGAUUGAAGGAUCCGAUGUCGGAUUAGCUAGUUGGCGGGGUAAAGGCCCACCAAGGCGACGAUCCGUAGCUGGUCUGAGAGGAUGAUAAGCCACACAGGAACUGAGACAGGGUCCAACCACAUACGGAAGGGAGGAGUGAGGAAUAAGGAACAGUGGACGGACGCAUGACCCAGCCAGACAGGGUGGGUGAAGAAGGCAUUCGGGUUGGAAAGCACUUUUGUUGGGAAAGAAAAGAAGAAGGUUAACACGCAGCUGUACUGACGGUACCCAAAGAAUAAGAACCGGCUACCUUCGU